AGAGUUUGAUCCUGGCUCAGGACGAACGCUGGCGGCGUGCUUAACACAUGCAAGUGGGGCGACGAACCAGGCUUCGGCCUGGGGCAAAGCCGCGAACGGGUGAGUAACACGUGGGUAACCUGCCCCGAAGACCGGGACAACCCGGGGAAACCCGGGCUAAUACCGGAUGUGGUCACUGUUCACAAGUACAGUGAGCAAAGGAAGCUUCGGCCUCCGCUUCGGGAUGGGCCCGCGGCCCAUUAGCUUGUUGGUGAGGUAACGGCUCACCAAGGCUUCGAUGGGUAGCUGGUCUGAGAGGACGAUCAGCCACACUGGGACUGAGACACGGCCCAGACUCCUACGGGAGGCAGCAGUGGGGAAUCUUGCGCAAUGCACGACAGUGUGACGCAGCAACGCCGCGUGGGGGAAGAAGGCUUUCGGGUCGUAAACCCCUUUCAGGAGGGACGAAGCUCCGGUCGCGAAUAGCGGUCCGGAGUGACGGUACUUCCACAAGAAGCCCCGGCUAACUACGUGCCAGCAGCCGCGGUA
Molecule: ribosomal RNA, 528 nt
Filed under: uncultured Actinomycetes bacterium
Lineage: Bacteria; Bacillati; Actinomycetota; Actinomycetes
Description: bacterial SSU rRNA
Rfam family: Bacterial small subunit ribosomal RNA
Source: RNAcentral